UACACAUGCAGUCGAACGGCAGCACGGGGGCAACCCUGGUGGCGAGUGGCGAACGGGUGAGUAACAUAUCGGAACGUGCCCUGGAGUGGGGGAUAACUAGUCGAAAGAUUAGCUAAUACCGCAUACGAUCUACGGAUGAAAGUGGGGGAUCGCAAGACCUCAUGCUCGUGGAGCGGCCGAUAUCUGAUUAGCUAGUUGGUGGGGUAAAGGCCUACCAAGGCAUCGAUCAGUAGCUGGUCUGAGAGGACGACCAGCCACACUGGGACUGAGACACGGCCCAGACUCCUACGGGAGGCAGCAGUGGGGAAUUUUGGACAAUGGGCGCAAGCCUGAUCCAGCAAUGCCGCGUGAGUGAAGAAGGCCUUCGGGUUGUAAAGCUCUUUUGUCAGGGAAGAAACGGCGNGGGCUAAUAUCCCUUGCUAAUGACGGUACCUGAAGAAUAAGCACCGGCUAACUACGUGCCAGCAGCCGCGGUAAUACGUAGGGUGCAAGCGUUAAUCGGAAUUACUGGGCGUAAAGCGUGCGCAGGCGGUUGUGCAAGACCGAUGUGAAAUCCCCGGGCUUAACCUGGGAAUGGCAUUGGUGACUGCACGGCUAGAGUGUGUCAGAGGGGGGUAGAAUUCCACGUGUAGCAGUGAAAUGCGUAGAGAUGUGGAGGAAUACCGAUGGCGAA
Molecule: ribosomal RNA, 673 nt
Filed under: unidentified microorganism
Description: bacterial SSU rRNA
Rfam family: Bacterial small subunit ribosomal RNA
Source: RNAcentral